CACUCCUGCGGGAGGCAGCAGUAGGGAAUCUUCGGCAAUGGGGGCAACCCUGACCGAGCAACGCCGCGUGAGUGAAGAAGGUUUUCGGAUCGUAAAGCUCUGUUGUAAGUCAAGAACGAGUGUGAGAGUGGAAAGUUCACACGGUGACGGUAGCUUACCAGAAAGGGACGGCUAACUACGUGCCAGCAGCCGCGGUAAUACGUAGGUCCCGAGCGUUGUCCGGAUUUAUUGGGCGUAAAGCGAGCGCAGGCGGUUUGAUAAGUCUGAAGUUAAAGGCUGUGGCUCAACCAUAGUUCGCUUUGGAAACUGUCAAACUUGAGUGCAGAAGGGGAGAGUGGAAUUCCAUGUGUAGCGGUGAAAUGCGUAGAUAUAUGGAGGAACACCGGUGGCGAAAGCGGCUCUCUGGUCUGUAACUGACGCUGAGGCUCGAAAGCGUGGGGAGCGAACAGGAUUAGAUACCCCAGUAGUCCCAUGAU
This 476-nucleotide ribosomal RNA is filed under the name uncultured organism. RNAcentral describes it as "partial 16S ribosomal RNA". It matches the Rfam family "Bacterial small subunit ribosomal RNA", at positions 334 to 801 of the family's 1533-position model. The record is from RNAcentral.